Molecule: ribosomal RNA, 356 nt
Filed under: uncultured bacterium
Lineage: Bacteria
Description: bacterial SSU rRNA
Rfam family: Bacterial small subunit ribosomal RNA
Source: RNAcentral
UAAGUGGGGGAUAACGUAGCGAAAGUUACGCUAAUACCGCAUACGACCUGAGGGUGAAAGCAGGGGGAUCGCAAGACCUUGCGUUAUACGAGCGGCCGAUGUCAGAUUAGCUAGUUGGUGAGGUAAAGGCUCACCAAGGCGACGAUCCCUAGCUGGUCUGAGAGGAUGAUCAGCCACACUGGAACUGAGACACGGUCCAGACUUCUACGGGAGGCAGCAGGUGGGGAAUAUUGCACAAUGGGGGAAACCCUGAUGCAGCCAUGCCGCGUGUGUGAAGAAGGCCUUAGGGUUGUAAAGCUCUUUUACCCGAGAUGAUAAUGACAGUAUCGGGAGAAUAAGCUCCGGCUAACUCCGUG